Molecule: long non-coding RNA, 2561 nt
Organism: Amphiprion ocellaris (clown anemonefish)
Lineage: Eukaryota; Metazoa; Chordata; Actinopteri; Pomacentridae
Exons: 3
Source: RefSeq, a predicted model, not a curated record
GGUGCAUAGACUGGAUAUAAUUUUUUUCGUUAGUUUUCAUGGUCAAAAUGAGAGAUCAGGUGAUCGAUCUUAAAAUAAAUCAAUACUGAAUUUUUUAUAGAGCGUUAAAGUUUUGCGAAGCCAGGGGGCGGGACUACUUGAUUGACAGUCCGGUCUGGAAUGAUUGACAGGUCCUAUGGAGGAGGCAGCAGAGACUCCGCUCUCCUCGUUUGGAUUAAUUCUGAUAUAAUAACUGUUGGUUUAUGUAUCGGUGGAGCAGCAGAACAUUUUCCACAGACAGUUUUCCUGUCCGUUGGCUUGUUUUAACCAGUUUUCUACCUUCAGCUGAUUCUACCAGCAGACACUGAAAGGACUCUGAUAGUUCGGAUGAGGAGGACAUCAGUGCUGCUCUUCCUCACAGUGAUGAAGGAGAAAAGACUCUUCAGACAACCACAGCUGGAUGUUCAUGUUCUCUGGAGCUCUCAGUCCAUCAGACCAGAUGUUCCCAAUCCAGACCAAGGCUGGAAGGAAAAGACACUAACAUUGAGGCUAAAGAACCACAUAAUAAUCUAUGGGGGGCGAUGCUAUCCAAGCAAGCUAACCAGUCCUCAGCUCCAGAGACGGCAGACGGGACGAGUCAACGGAGGCCGGGUGGACGAAGGCAUACAGCUGAGUACAAUCCAGAAAACAAAAGAGGAGGAUUGCAGCAGCCCAGAGCCAGAACAACCAGAGUAGCAUCGUAUGUCUCUUAGAAAACAUCAUAGUCUAGCCUUUGGGAUGAAAAAACGCCAUCAUAUACAUCGUAUAUUGUACAAAUAACAAGUCAAAGGAAAGAGACAUACAUUGUAGAAUUGUAGUAAUUGUGGGCUGACUGAUUUACUGAUUAUCAGGUUUUUAUUUUUUACUGAUUUACGGUAAUAAAUACAUUUAAAAAUGGUGCUACUUUGGCUCUGAACCUUUAUCUACCUGUGGUUGCUCUGUCUUCUGGAGUGAUUUGAUUGGUUAUAUGUCACGAAUAAAACUCUUAACAUCUGUAAACAAAACAAAAACGUAUCAACAAAGUUUUCUGUUGGUUUGUGUUCUUCUAAGUUUAACUCCAAGAUUUUAAAUACUUUCAUUUACUACAAAUGAAUAUCUACUCUAAAUGUCUCACUAAUAAUCAUUAUCAGCCUUAAAAACCCACAAAACACCCCUCUAUACUGGACCACACUUAGUACAGUCCAGUUCCCCCUUCUAUAAAUCUGCUUGGAAUCUUCCACUUCCUGUUUGUCAAAGUGGCCUUCUACCUGGACAGGUUUUGUUGGCGCUCAUGCAACAAACAUUUUGGGUAACUGCACUUUAAUAUGGAUGGAUGACACUGAAUUAGAGUCUGUUUUAAUGAGACUGAGUUAAGAUGUGUAGCUCUGUCAUUAAAUAGGAAAUUAUUUCUCAGAAUUCACAGAGAAAAGUCUGAAAUGUUUGCUAGGUUAGCAUCCCACGUGUUCUUUGGCUCAGCUAAAGCUAACUCUCUCCAACUUCUGGAUCUCUUGAGUUGCUUGUUGUUAAAAUAUCUUGCUAGAGGUGCUGAAGCUCAGAAAGUCUGAGAUGUUUGUUCAGAAUAAGCUCAUUCUCAAGUCUUAUCUGAACUGUCCUCUUUUGUUUGAACUUUCCCUAAACUUAGGAGUUAAUGACUGAGCAGCACAUCCAGACUCAGUCUCAUUUAUGUAGAGGUUAAACUUCAGUGUCAUUCAUUGAUGUUAAAGUGCAGUUUUUCAAAUGUUUGUUGCACAUGCUCCCGACCAAAGCAGUCCAGGUGGAAGACGAUGUGAAGAGAAAGCUCCAGAGGAUGAAUAUCACACAUUUACGUUGGAAAUAAAUGUCCUUUAAUGAGACAUUGUCAUGCAAAAGUUGGAUUUCCCUUUACCGAUGUUCAAAUCUUUGUUGAGUGUUUUGUUGAUGUUGGUUUCUAAAUGUUUUUUGACACUCGGCCCCAAAGAUUAAAACCUUUACGGCUCACAAGCUGCAACAAUUCACACAUUAUCAACUAUCUUUCUGACUAAACUAAGAUAAAAAGUGAAAAACUGCCUGAUUCCUGCAUCAUGAAUGUAAAUCUUUUUGGUUUUUAUGACAGUAAACUGAAUAUAUUUGGGUUUGAUAUUUUACCAAAACAAGAAAUGAAUUAGUGGAGAAAACAGUCAACAGAUUAAUGGACAAAGAAAAUGUGUUUUCCAACAUAUAUGGCUGAAUUAUUCCAACGUUACAAGAUACAUACAAUUUUAAGUCAAUUUUAUUUGCAGGUCAAAUUGUCUCAAGUGCUUUAUUUUUACAUUUUUUGUCAUAUUUAAAAUAUGACAAAGUAAGAAAUUUCAAGCUCUUGACUAAUUCAAUUUAUUAUUUGUUUUUAAGAGACUAAUGGACUAUUAAAAUAAGUUUCUCCACUAAAACUAAUAAAUAUGAGGUCAAAUAGAAGGAAGAGUUUUAAAUACUGCAGUCCCACAACGACAAGAAUAAAGUUUGUCAACAAAAAGUAAAUCUGCUGGGGGAUUCCAUUAAAGUCCUAAUAAAGGAUAAUAAAGUGUGAUACUAAAGGUUUGUGGUGCUAA